GAAAAGUGUGAUCGGUCGAGGCGAACGGAAGUUGAGAGAGAGAUACAAGUUAGAUGGAGCUAAAGAAGUUUAACUUCCGUCGUGUGGUCAAAAGCGUGCUCGUUUUUUUUUAAAAAAAACAGCUUUAA
Long non-coding RNA from Melitaea cinxia (Glanville fritillary), 128 nucleotides. RefSeq lists it as uncharacterized. Lineage: Eukaryota; Metazoa; Arthropoda; Insecta; Lepidoptera; Nymphalidae. The transcript has 3 exons. The record is from RefSeq and is a predicted model, not a curated record.